RNAcentral lists this ribosomal RNA (2899 nucleotides) under Proteus mirabilis. Its description in RNAcentral is "23S ribosomal RNA". It matches the Rfam family "Bacterial large subunit ribosomal RNA". The record is from RNAcentral. Lineage: Bacteria; Pseudomonadati; Pseudomonadota; Gammaproteobacteria; Enterobacterales; Morganellaceae.
UUAAGCGAAUAAGCGUACACGGUGGAUGCCUAGGCAAUCAGAGGCGAUGAAGGACGUGCUAAUCUGCGAAAAGCGUCGGUAAGGUGAUAUGAACCGUUAUACCCGACGAUAUCCGAAUGGGGAAACCCAGUAUCCAAUGGAUACUAUCAUUAACUGAAUCCAUAGGUUAAUGAGGCGAACCGGGAGAACUGAAACAUCUCAGUACCCCGAGGAAAAGAAAUCAACCGAGAUUCCCCUAGUAGCGGCGAGCGAACGGGGAGCAGCCCAGAGUCUUAAUCAAUAGCAGUGUCAGGAGAACGGUCUGGAAAGUCCGGCAGUAAAGGGUGAUAGCCCCGUAUCUGAAGAUGCUGUUAUUGUGAACUCGACGAGUAGGGCGGGACACGUGUUAUCCUGUCUGAAUAUGGGGGGACCAUCCUCCAAGGCUAAAUACUCCUGAUUGACCGAUAGUGAACCAGUACCGUGAGGGAAAGGCGAAAAGAACCCCGGCGAGGGGAGUGAAAAAGAACCUGAAACCGUGUACGUACAAGCAGUAGGAGCCUCUUUAUGGGGUGACUGCGUACCUUUUGUAUAAUGGGUCAGCGACUUAUAUUCUGUAGCAAGGUUAACCGUAUAGGGGAGCCGUAGGGAAACCGAGUCUUAACUGGGCGAAUGAGUUGCAGGGUAUAGACCCGAAACCCGGUGAUCUAUCCAUGGGCAGGUUGAAGGUUGGGUAACACUAACUGGAGGACCGAACCGACUAAUGUUGAAAAAUUAGCGGAUGACUUGUGGAUGGGGGUGAAAGGCCAAUCAAACCGGGAGAUAGCUGGUUCUCCCCGAAAGCUAUUUAGGUAGCGCCUCGUGAACUCAUCUUCGGGGGUAGAGCACUGUUUCGACUAGGGGGUCAUCCCGACUUACCAACUCGAUGCAAACUGCGAAUACCGAAGAAUGUUAUCACGGGAGACACACGGCGGGUGCUAACGUCCGUCGUGAAGAGGGAAACAACCCAGACCGCCAGCUAAGGUCCCAAAGUCAUGGUUAAGUGGGAAACGAAGUGGGAAGGCUCAGACAGCCAGGAUGUUGGCUUAGAAGCAGCCAUCAUUUAAAGAAAGCGUAAUAGCUCACUGGUCGAGUCGGCCCGCGCGGAAGAUGUAACGGGGCUAAACCAUGCACCGAAGCUGCGGCAGCGACACAUAGUGUUGUUGGGUAGGGGAGCGUUCUGUAAGCCUGCGAAGGUGUACUGUGAGGUAUGCUGGAGGUAUCAGAAGUGCGAAUGCUGACAUAAGUAACGAUAAUGCGGGUGAAAAACCCGCACGCCGGAAGACCAAGGGUUCCUGUCCAACGUUAAUCGGGGCAGGGUGAGUCGACCCCUAAGGCGAGGCUGAAAAGCGUAGUCGAUGGGAAACGGGUUAAUAUUCCCGUACUGGUGGUAACUGCGAUGGGGGAACGGAGAAGGCUAGGUUGUCCGGGCGACGGUCGUCCCGGUUCAAGCAGGUAGGCAGAGUGAUUAGGCAAAUCCGGUCACUUAAUGCUGAGAUGUGAUGACGAACCACUAAGGUGGUGAAGCAAUUGAUGCCCCGCUUCCAGGAAAAGCCUCUAAGCUUCAGGUUACCAACAAUCGUACCCCAAACCGACACAGGUGGUCAGGUAGAGAAUACUCAGGCGCUUGAGAGAACUCGGGUGAAGGAACUAGGCAAAAUGGUGCCGUAACUUCGGGAGAAGGCACGCUGGCGGUAGGUAAAGUCCCUUGCGGACGGCGCUGAAGCCAGUCGAAGAUACCAGCUGGCUGCAACUGUUUAUUAAAAACACAGCACUGUGCAAACACGAAAGUGGACGUAUACGGUGUGACGCCUGCCCGGUGCUGGAAGGUUAAUUGAUGGGGUCAGCCGCAAGGCGAAGCUCCUGAUCGAAGCCCCAGUAAACGGCGGCCGUAACUAUAACGGUCCUAAGGUAGCGAAAUUCCUUGUCGGGUAAGUUCCGACCUGCACGAAUGGCGUAAUGAUGGCCAGGCUGUCUCCACCCGAGACUCAGUGAAAUUGAACUCGCUGUGAAGAUGCAGUGUACCCGCGGCAAGACGGAAAGACCCCGUGAACCUUUACUAUAGCUUGACACUGAACAUUGAGCCUUGAUGUGUAGGAUAGGUGGGAGGCUUUGAAGUGUGGACGCCAGUCUGCAUGGAGCCAACCUUGAAAUACCACCCUUUAACGUUUGAUGUUCUAACCUAGGCCCAUAAACUGGGUCGGGGACCGUGUCUGGUGGGUAGUUUGACUGGGGCGGUCUCCUCCUAAAGAGUAACGGAGGAGCACGAAGGUUGGCUAAGCAUGGUCGGACAUCAUGCGGUUAGUGCAAAGGCAUAAGCCAGCUUGACUGCGAGAGUGACGGCUCGAGCAGGUACGAAAGUAGGUCUUAGUGAUCCGGUGGUUCUGAAUGGAAGGGCCAUCGCUCAACGGAUAAAAGGUACUCCGGGGAUAACAGGCUGAUACCGCCCAAGAGUUCAUAUCGACGGCGGUGUUUGGCACCUCGAUGUCGGCUCAUCACAUCCUGGGGCUGAAGUAGGUCCCAAGGGUAUGGCUGUUCGCCAUUUAAAGUGGUACGCGAGCUGGGUUUAGAACGUCGUGAGACAGUUCGGUCCCUAUCUGCCGUGGGCGUUGGAAGAUUGAGAGGGGUUGCUCCUAGUACGAGAGGACCGGAGUGAACGCACCACUGGUGUUCGGGUUGUCAUGCCAAUGGCAUUGCCCGGUAGCUAAGUGCGGAAGAGAUAACCGCUGAAAGCAUCUAAGCGGGAAACUUGCCUCGAGAUGAGUCUUCCCUGUCGCUUUAAGCGACCUAAAGGAACGUUUAAGACUAAGACGUUGAUAGGCUGGGUGUGUAAGCGUAGCGAUACGUUGAGCUAACCAGUACUAAUGAACCGUGAGGCUUAACC